CUUCGCGUGUAGCAGUGAAAUGCGUAGAUAUGCGGAGGAACACCGAUGGCGAAGGCAAUCCCCUGGGCCUGUACUGACGCUCAUGCACGAAAGCGUGGGGAGCAAACAGGAUUAGAUACCCUGGUAGUCCACGCCCUAAACGAUGUCAACUGGUUGUUGGGAGGGUUUCUUCUCAGUAACGAAGCUAACGCGUGAAGUUGACCGCCUGGGGAGUACGGCCGCAAGGUUGAAGCUCAAAGGAAUUGACGGGGACCCGCACAAGCGGUGGAUGAUGUGGUUUAAUUCGAUGCAACGCGAAAAACCUUACCUACCCUUGACAUGUCUGGAAUCCUGGAGAGAUUUGGGAGUGCUCGAAAGAGAGCCAGAACACAGGUGCUGCAUGGCCGUCGUCAGCUCGUGUCGUGAGAUGUUGGGUUAAGUCCCGCAACGAGCGCAACCCUUAUCAUUAGUUGCUACGCAAGGGCACUCUAAUGAGACUGCCGGUGACAAACCGGAGGAAGGUGGGGAUGACGUCAGGUCAUCAUGGCCCUUAUGGGUAGGGCUACACACGUCAUACAAUGGCCGGUACAGAGGGCUGCCAACCCGCGAGGGGGAGCUAAUCUCAGAAAACCGGUCGUAGUCCGGAUCGCAGUCUGCAACUCGACUGCGUGAAGUCGGAAUCGCUAGUAAUCGCGGAUCAGCUUGCCGCGGUGAAUACGUUCCCGGGUCUUGUACACACCGCCCGUCACACCAUGGGAGCGGGUUCUGCCAGAAGUAGUUAGCCUAACCGCNNNNNNNGCGAUUACCACGGCAGGGUUCGUGACUGGGGUGA
This 811-nucleotide ribosomal RNA is filed under the name uncultured bacterium. RNAcentral's name for it is "bacterial SSU rRNA". It matches the Rfam family "Bacterial small subunit ribosomal RNA", at positions 667 to 1483 of the family's 1533-position model. The record is from RNAcentral.